Molecule: long non-coding RNA, 349 nt
Filed under: Citrus maxima (pomelo)
Lineage: Eukaryota; Viridiplantae; Streptophyta; Magnoliopsida; Sapindales; Rutaceae
Description: long non-coding RNA (CMAX_LNC002326)
Source: RNAcentral
CAUUUAUUUUUUUUCACCUUGAAAACAAAAAUCCUACACCAAAAAGUAAAUUAAAAUGUUAUUAACAAUUUAACAUAUUGCAAUAUUGAUAAUAAUCAUUGUAAAAUUUCAAAAUAUCAAAUAUAUAGCAAUUUUGUAGUAUUUUUAAGGAAAUAAUAAUUAAACAAGACAAAACUUUACCUAUCAUACUCACACAAAUCCAAGGAUUUGAAGCAAUGGCAAAACGUAGCACUUGUUGGAUGUAAAAAUAAAAAAAAAAAGGAUUUGGAGAAGGAAAUGAAGGGAAAGAGAUGGCAAAAUGUAGCAGUGGCGGCUAAGUUGCUAGGAGGUGAGGGAAAAGUGCGUGUGA